UACGUAGGGUGCGAGCGUUGUCCGGAAUUAUUGGGCGUAAAGAGCUCGUAGGCGGUUUGUCGCGUCGGCCGUGAAAACUUGGGGCUUAACCCCAAGCUUGCGGUCGAUACGGGCAGACUUGAGUUCGGCAGGGGAGACUGGAAUUCCUGGUGUAGCGGUGAAAUGCGUAGAUAUCGUAAGGAACGCCAGUGGCGAAAGCGAAUCUCUGGGCAGCAACUGACGCUGAGGCACGAAGGCCAGGGGAGCAAACGGG
Molecule: ribosomal RNA, 253 nt
Filed under: uncultured bacterium
Lineage: Bacteria
Description: partial 16S ribosomal RNA
Rfam family: Bacterial small subunit ribosomal RNA
Source: RNAcentral